AUACGGAGGGUCCAAGCGUUAUCCGGAAUCAUGGGGUUUAAAGGGUCCGCAGGCGGUCAAUUAAGUCAGAGGUGAAAGCCCAUCGCUCAACGAUGGAACUGCCUUUGAUACUGGUUGACUUGAGUUAUACGGAAGUAGAUAGAAUAAGUAGUGUAGCGGUGAAAUGCAUAGAUAUUACUUAGGAUACCGAUUGCGAAGGCAGUCUACUACGUAUAUACUGACGCUGAGGGACGAAAGCGUGGGGAGCGAACAGGAUUAGAAACCCCAGUAGUCC
This 274-nucleotide ribosomal RNA is filed under the name uncultured bacterium. RNAcentral describes it as "partial 16S ribosomal RNA". It matches the Rfam family "Bacterial small subunit ribosomal RNA", at positions 523 to 796 of the family's 1533-position model. The record is from RNAcentral.